AUGGAGGUGGAGCCAAACCCAUUUAUCGUGUUUGAUAUCACGGAUUGGUCCGAGCUCCCACUCGAUGCGCUUUCUGCAAUCUUCAUGAAGCUUGGGACCAUUGAGAUUCUUAUGGGAGCGGGACUUGUGUGCCGCUCAUGGCUGGUGGCAGCCAAGUCCCCUGAGUUGUGGCGUUUUGUGGACAUGACACGCCACAAGGUGGUUUUCUCAAAGGCGGAAAAGGUCAUGUGCAGAAUGGCAAAAGUGGCUAUAGAUCGCUCCGAUGGAUGGGUGGAAUCGUUCUGGGCUUAG
This 291-nucleotide ribosomal RNA is filed under the name Triticum aestivum (bread wheat). Its description in RNAcentral is "partial small subunit ribosomal RNA". Lineage: Eukaryota; Viridiplantae; Streptophyta; Magnoliopsida; Poales; Poaceae. The record is from RNAcentral.